AGUGAACGCUGGCGGUAGGCCUAACACAUGCAAGUCGAACGGCAGCACAGUAAGAGCUUGCUCUUACGGGUGGCGAGUGGCGGACGGGUGAGGAAUACAUCGGAAUCUACUUUUUCGUGGGGGAUAACGUAGGGAAACUUACGCUAAUACCGCAUACGACCUACGGGUGAAAGCAGGGGAUCUUCGGACCUUACGCGAUUGAAUGAGCCGAUGUCGGAUUAGCUAGUUGGCGGGGUAAAGGCCCACCAAGGCGACGAUCCGUAGCUGGUCUGAGAGGAUGAUCAGCCACACUGGAACUGAGACACGGUCCAGACUCCUACGGGAGGCAGCAGUGGGGAAUAUUGGACAAUGGGCGCAAGCCUGAUCCAGCCAUACCGCGUGGGUGAAGAAGGCCUUCGGGUUGUAAAGCCCUUUUGUUGGGAAAGAAAAGCAGCAGGUUAAUACCCCGCUGUUCUGACGGUACCCAAAGAAUAAACACCGGCUAACUUCGU
This 491-nucleotide ribosomal RNA is filed under the name uncultured bacterium. RNAcentral's name for it is "partial 16S ribosomal RNA". It matches the Rfam family "Bacterial small subunit ribosomal RNA", at positions 29 to 506 of the family's 1533-position model. The record is from RNAcentral.